Molecule: small nucleolar RNA, 75 nt
Organism: Malania oleifera
Lineage: Eukaryota; Viridiplantae; Streptophyta; Magnoliopsida; Santalales; Ximeniaceae
Product: small nucleolar RNA Z155
Exons: 1
Source: RefSeq, a predicted model, not a curated record
CAUUGGGGUGAUGAAAUCCGAUUCAGAAGAUACAAUGUUGAUUUUAAAAAUCAGACUACAAUUAUCUGAUCAAUG